This is a long non-coding RNA of Cygnus olor (mute swan), 753 nucleotides long. RefSeq lists it as uncharacterized. Lineage: Eukaryota; Metazoa; Chordata; Aves; Anseriformes; Anatidae. The transcript is spliced from 4 exons. The record is from RefSeq and is a predicted model, not a curated record.
CAGACCUGCUCCGGUAUACAGCGAGCACUGCAGAACUACAUCUGAAAAAGCUCAUUCCUCUGCCUGGCAGCCACACCAGCAAGGAAGGCCCAUGGGUCAGCUACCACCAAAUGAAGAACCACAGGCGUUGGUUUGCUUCCAGACUGCUACUGGGGGCUUCGUGUGAUGCCUUCAGAUGGCUGUAGUGACAGGGAAGUCAAAGAGACGAGCUCGGUGCUGUCCCCUUUCCAGGUGAUGGCUGUUACCAGUGAGAGGAUGUGACAGACAGUUUAGAAGUUUCCUUUUUCGCCUACUCAAGGAAGAAGAGCUCUGAAGCUUGCAGCAAAGUGAUUUCUUGCCAUUUUCUCUCUUUGUACUUAGCUGCAGGUUUCCACCUCUGGUGUGCAGCACCUCAGGGAAAAUACAUACUCCUUGUAAGCUGUCAAGACAAGGAAGAACAGCAGGGAUGGAGACCUUCUGCCUGGAAUAUUUUCUUCAACUUCAAGAGAGCUGCAGUGAACUGUAGAAGAUAGUGCAGAGUUUAUAGAAGUACAUCUCCAGGAUUAUUUGCCUCUGUGGUAGAAGUGCAGGUCUGUGCCAGAAGUGCAGGUCUGUGCCUGGUGCCUUUCGUGUAGCUUCAGAUAGGGGUUCUUGGAAGAUUUCAAUUUCAGAUUAAAGACUUGUGAACUUCAUGUCAGCAACAGUAUAGAAAGUUUGCAGGUGUAUGCCUGUGCGAAUGCAUACGAUAUUUGGGAGCAGAACUAUCUUAACCCA